CGGAGGUGCAAGCGUUAUCCGGAUUCACUGGGUUUAAAGGGUGUGUAGGCGGAUAUUUAAGUCAGUGGUGAAAUCUCCGGGCUCAACCCGGAAACUGCCAUUGAUACUAUUUAUCUUGAAUAUCGUUGAGGUUGGCGGAAUAUAUCAUGUAGCGGUGAAAUGCAUAGAUAUGAUAUAGAACACCGAUUGCGAAGGCAGCUAACUAAACGAUUAUUGACGCUGAGGCACGAAAGCGUGGGGAUCAAACAGGAUUAGAUACCCUGGUAGUCCACGCCCUAAACUAUGAUUACUCGACAUACGCGAUACACAGUGUGUGUCUGAGCGAAAGCAUUAAGUAAUCCACCUGGGAAGUACGUCCGCAAGGAUG
Molecule: ribosomal RNA, 367 nt
Filed under: uncultured organism
Description: bacterial SSU rRNA
Rfam family: Bacterial small subunit ribosomal RNA
Source: RNAcentral